RNAcentral lists this ribosomal RNA (440 nucleotides) under uncultured bacterium. RNAcentral's name for it is "partial 16S ribosomal RNA". It matches the Rfam family "Bacterial small subunit ribosomal RNA", at positions 338 to 795 of the family's 1533-position model. The record is from RNAcentral.
CCUACGGGAGGCAGCAGUGGGGAAUAUUGCACAAUGGGGGAAACCCUGAUGCAGCGACGCCGCGUGAGUGAAGAAGUAUUUCGGUAUGUAAAGCUCUAUCAGCAGGGAAGAAAAUGACGGUACCUGAUUAAGAAGCCCCGGCUAACUACGUGCCAGCAGCCGCGGGAAUACGUAGGGGGCAAGCGUUAUCCGGAUUUACUGGGUGUAAAGGGAGCGUAGACGGCAGCACAAGUCUGGAGUGAAAUGCCGGGGCUUAACCCCGGAACUGCUGUGGAUACUGUGCAGCUAGAGUGCAGGAGAGGUAGGUGGAAUUCGUAGUGUAGCGGUGAAAUGCGUAGAUAUUAGGAGGAACACCAGUGGCGAAGGCGGCUUACUGGACUGUAACUGACGUUGAGGCUCGAAAGCGUGGGGAGCAAACAGGAUUAGAUACCCCAGUAGUC